This 415-nucleotide ribosomal RNA is filed under the name Anguilla anguilla (European eel). RNAcentral describes it as "partial large subunit ribosomal RNA". It matches the Rfam family "Archaeal large subunit ribosomal RNA", at positions 1908 to 2497 of the family's 2987-position model. The record is from RNAcentral. Lineage: Eukaryota; Metazoa; Chordata; Actinopteri; Anguilliformes; Anguillidae.
CGCCUCUUGCUAACAAAGGAAGUACUAGAGGUCCCGCCUGCCCUGUGACCACAAAGUUUAACGGCCGCGGUAUCCUGACCGUGCGAAGGUAGCGUAAUCAUUUGUCUUUUAAAUAGAGACCUGUAUGAAUGGCAUAACGAGGGUUUAACUGUCUCCUUCCCCUAGUCAAUGAAAUUGAUCUGCCCGUGCAGAAGCGGACAUAAACACAUAAGACGAGAAGACCCUAUGGAGCUUUAGACAAAAGAUCAAACAUGUAAAGAAACCAAACCAACCAAAAGGAACACGAAGGCCACAAAACCCAACGUAAACUGAUCUAAAUGUCUUCGGUUGGGGCGACCAUGGGGGAAAGAAAAGCCCCCACGAGGAACAGGGACAACCCCUAAACUAAGAGAGACACCUCUAAGCAACAGAAAAU